AGAGGGUAGAAGGCAGACCUGAGGACAUGGAGGAAAAGACUGUGAGGCAUAGCUCUCUUCAGUGCCUGUUGCCCAAGAAGGUGGGGCAAGGGUGUGUAAACUCAGCCUGUAAAAGGUGCUCUGUGCUUCCCCACGGAUCCGGCCUACCUCAGAGAGAGUGCUAGGGGACUUGCCAUUCACUCCCCUUGAAGAGCCCCAUGCCAGGCCUGCUGCUGGCUGCUCGUAAGAUCGACAGAUGGGACUCAUGCCUGUGGCCCUUCCCUGGCAGUGAGUCAAACUUGAGCCUCCAAGAGUAGGAAGACGGCGUCAGAGGCACCAGGAGCAGAGGGCAUCUUCUGGGGUCAGUCCGGAAGAUGAGGUAUUAUUGGCUGGAUCCUGAGUGUGUGUGGGCUAGCCACAGGGAGCCUGUUCGGAAUAGAGGGCAAAGGUCAGGAGACAAGAGGUAGUGUGGAUGGGCAGAGAGGACCUAGAUGAGCUCAGCAGUCAUAGGGAAGGAGCUCCUGCUAUGAUUAGGCCCACGCUGUUACUAUUGGACGGGCCCCAAGCUUUCCUGUGCGGUUUGCACUGCGCAGGGAUGAGGACAUUGGAAAUGGGAGGAGCGUGGGAGUAGAAAAAGCACCGUGUUACCACGUAGACUGGAGAGGCCACCCGGCCAGGCUUUGGUCAGUCUGAGGACAGGCACUUUAGGGAGGACAUGUCCCUAGCAUGGGUCUCCGGUGAUGGCCAGCUGAUUGCAGAUCAUAAGCCAGGUUAGGUUAGGCUUUGACGCUGGAGUUCUCAGUAGUGGCUCGGUCUGUGAUGGAAAAGGUGGAAGGCAGAGCUGGCAGAGGGUGCGAGCCAGGCCGGGCCAGUGGAUGGGAAUGAAGCGUUGCCAGGCGCAACGGGGCCUGAGGCUCACUUCCUUAGUUUAUUUAUUUUGGUUAUUUGAGACAGAGCCUCACAUACCCUAAGCUGGCCAGAACUUGCUAUGUAGUUGAAGAUCUUUGAAACGAUCUUCCUGCCUCCACCUCCUGAGUGCUGGAAUCACAAGCAUGUGCCACCAUGCAUGGCAACAUUCUAGAUUUAUAGAGGUGCACAUGUCUGUAGUCACACAGCAAUUCAGUUGAUACACCUGGAGCCUCCAGGUUGGCUUCUCAGGUGAGUGAGCAGCCUGCCAGCCUCCUAGAGGCAUGAGAGUGGUGGCCCAGACAUUCCUGACCCCUUUCCUGGCUUCGGGGAGCCACCGAAGGGACUGGCCAGUUCAUUUAUUCACCUCUCUUGGAAGUCCUGCCCUCUCUAGGCCCCAGUAUCCUCAUCUCCUAGAAGCUGGGGUCGAGGGUUGGGAUGUAUUAGUGGGAGAGCUGGAGUGCUUUGCCCGGCAUCCAUGAGGUCUUGAUUUCCAUCAGUGGAACUGGGCAAUCCGCUCUUGGGUCAGCAUUUCACAUGGCUAAGUCUGUGGAGGGCUAGGCACUCUUAGGCUGUAAACUUCACGGCGUAAGGGAACCUGAGGGGAAGUACGCCUGAGACGCUUGGUAAGGUCCCUCCUCCUUCAGUGGCAAGGGUCUGCUGUGGCCUCCGUGAGAUGGAUGGAGCUGCUGGAGGAAAGGCUCAAGAGGUGUGUGAGAAGUUAAGCCCCCAAGAAGGCGGGGGUAGGCAGAGCAGAGAAGGCUCUGGAUGUGAGACUUGGCCUGGCUGCUGGAUCUGCUAAAGGAAGCCCUGGGAUGAUUAAGAGAGAGGGGUGGAAAGACUGUGGGUGCGGACAACCAAGAGAAGUGCUCAGGUAGGGAUUGGGCGUAGACUGAGCUGGAGGUAGAGCCGGAGAGGAAAUUUUCAACUCCAUAGCCAAAAGGACCAGAGGCAACCUCCAAAGCCAGAGUUUGAGCCCUCCUUCCAGCCUAGAGCUGCUUAUUCAGCUUCUAUCUACCGGAGGUCAGAGGCUUGCAGAGCUUUGCUUAGUGAAGAGGCCCAGGAGGCUGAUGGGAGUUGUAGUUGUUGACCCACAGAUAGAUGGGAGGUGUAGUUCAUGCCCCCUGAAGGCCUAAUGGGACCUGUAGUUCCCGCCCACAGGAAGCUGAUGGGAAUUGCAGUUUCUGCCCCAGGGUACUUGAGUUAUUAGACUAAAAGAGAAGACAAUACCCUCUCCCUAUCACACGCCUUCCCAAUUAGUUAUCCUGGGCCCUGUUUUAGCUAGCGCGUCCCUCCCAGAUGGCUGUGUAUGUGUUUUCUUUUCUUUUUUUGCUUUCUCCUUCUUUCCGUUGUUUUAUUAUUGUUUGAACAAUAAUAAGAGGGCCAGAAGCAGUCAUAACCUGGCCAGGUUCUGGCGGUCCAUGGGGGUUCUGGGGAGGGGGUGGGGGGAAGUCAGUGGGGGUCAGAGGUGGAGGGUGAAGAAAGUGGAGAGUUAGGUUUAGCUCAGUAAUCAUAUGACCUCCGCCCUCACUCACUCUCCGUCCUCCCUCCCUCAUUCCCAAUCCUCCCUACCUCCAUGCAUCUUCUGAACUUUUCACCACCUCCCAGAAUCCUAAGGGACAAACCCAGCUCCAGUGUGUCUGAUCCUCCCUGCCCACUGUUCCACACAAGCAUUCCCGGUUAAAGUUUCCUCCCAUGGCCCUCUGAAAUUAGCCCCAGGUCCUUUCCACGGCCAGCCUCCCCAACCCCACCCCCACCCCCGAGUUCACACUCACAUAGACACGCCAGCCAUCGUCUCUCCUUUCCAUGGCCUCUCCACUGACCCUUCCUGUUCCCACGAUGUCACUGAAUGGUGCCACUCCCCAGACCUAACCCGCACACGCACUGUGUAAAUUUCAGUCUCGUGUUCAAUGAGGGGGAAGAGAGAGGGAGGAGAGAGAUCUUUCUGGAGGAAGCAGGCUGUCCAGGGAGGGAGAUGCCAAACAGAUAGACAGAAAACGUUGUACGGAAAAGUUGUUUUUUCUUAUUUUUUUUCGGGAGAACCCGCUUACACAGCUCUGUUUGUAAUUUUUUUCUUCAUGCUAAAAUCACACGGCCUAUUUGUUGAUGUAAGUUGCCUGAAUUCCGUGGUAUGCUAUCUUCUUUUUUAAAAACAAAAGCAAAAAAAAAAAAAAGCAAAAAGAAAUAUAUAUAAAAAAAACCCUAAAAGAUAUUGUUGUUAGGUUUGUUUAAAUGCUGCUGUUGUAUGUUUUUAAAGCCUUAAACCAGU
This 3154-nucleotide long non-coding RNA is filed under the name Mus musculus (house mouse). RNAcentral's name for it is "long non-coding RNA chr19:6527803-6530957". Lineage: Eukaryota; Metazoa; Chordata; Mammalia; Rodentia; Muridae. The record is from RNAcentral.